Molecule: microRNA, 23 nt
Filed under: Glycine max (soybean)
Lineage: Eukaryota; Viridiplantae; Streptophyta; Magnoliopsida; Fabales; Fabaceae
Description: gma-miR1516a-5p
Source: miRBase by way of RNAcentral
CAAGUUAUAAGCUCUUUUGAGAG